This is a long non-coding RNA of Marmota flaviventris (yellow-bellied marmot), 305 nucleotides long. RefSeq lists it as uncharacterized. The record is from RefSeq and is a predicted model, not a curated record. NCBI's taxonomy places the organism in Eukaryota, Metazoa, Chordata, Mammalia, Rodentia, Sciuridae.
CUUGCUAAUUUGCCUGUUGCAUGUGUGUUCAAAGCAAAGGAUUGAGUUCACUGCUGACUGGCUGGGUCCCAGAGCUGUGCCUCCUGUGAUCCCAAUAAGAAGAAGGAUGCAGAAACUGCUAGGAGUGGGUUUAGUGACUCUGUGGCUUCAGUUGGCCAGAGUGAACAGCCAACAAGGAGAAGCUAGUCCUCAGGUCAUGAGCAUCCAGGAGGGAGAAAAUGCCACCAUGAACUGCAGUUACAAAACUGAUAUAACCAACCUGCUGUGGUAUAGACAGGAUUCAGGUAAAGGUCCUGCUUUGGUGA